GAUGAACGCUGGCGGCGUGCCUAAUACAUGCAAGUCGAGCGAACAGACGAGGAGCUUGCUCCUCUGACGUUAGCGGCGGACGGGUGAGUAACACGUGGAUAACCUACCUAUAAGACUGGGAUAACUUCGGGAAACCGGAGCUAAUACCGGAUAAUAUAUUGAACCGCAUGGUUGAAUAGUGAAAGACGGUUUUGCUGUCACUUAUAGAUGGAUCCGCGCCGCAUUAGCUAGUUGGUAAGGUAACGGCUUACCAAGGCAACGAUGCGUAGACGACCUGAGAGGGUGAUCGCCAACACUGGAACUGAGACACGCUCCAGACUCCUACGGGAGGCAGCAGUAGGGAAUCUUCCGCAAUGGGCGAAAGCCUGACGGAGCAACGCCGCGUGAGUGAUGAAGGUCUUCGGAUCGUAAAACUCUGUUAUUAGGGAAGAACAAAUGUGUAAGUAACUAUGCACGUCUUGACGGUACCUAAUCAGAAAGCCACGGCUAACUACGUG
RNAcentral lists this ribosomal RNA (497 nucleotides) under uncultured bacterium. RNAcentral's name for it is "partial 16S ribosomal RNA". It matches the Rfam family "Bacterial small subunit ribosomal RNA", at positions 28 to 507 of the family's 1533-position model. The record is from RNAcentral.